RNAcentral lists this ribosomal RNA (468 nucleotides) under uncultured bacterium. Its description in RNAcentral is "partial 16S ribosomal RNA". It matches the Rfam family "Bacterial small subunit ribosomal RNA", at positions 28 to 507 of the family's 1533-position model. The record is from RNAcentral.
GACGAACGCUGGCGGCGUGCUUAACACAUGCAAGUCGAACGGAAAGGCCCUGCUUUCGUGGGGUGCUCGAGUGGCGAACGGGUGAGUAACACGUGAGUAACCUGCCCUUGACUUUGGGAUAACUUCAGGAAACUGGGGCUAAUACCGGAUAGGAGCUCCUGCUGCAUGGUGGGGGUUGGAAAGUUUCGGCGGUUGGGGAUGGACUCGCGGCUUAUCAGCUUGUUGGUGGGGUAGUGGCUUACCAAGGCUUUGACGGGUAGCCGGCCUGGGAGGGUGACCGGCCACAUUGGGCCUGCGAUACGCACCAGACUCCUACGGGAGGCAGCAGUGGGGAAUAUUGCCCAAUGGGCGGAAGCCUGAUGCAGCAACGCCGGGUGCGGGAUGACGGCCUUCGGGUUGUAAACCGCUUUCGCCUGUGACGAAGCGUGAGUGACGGUAAUGGGUGAAGAAGCACCGGCUAACUACGUG